This 520-nucleotide ribosomal RNA is filed under the name uncultured bacterium. Its description in RNAcentral is "partial 16S ribosomal RNA". It matches the Rfam family "Bacterial small subunit ribosomal RNA", at positions 28 to 507 of the family's 1533-position model. The record is from RNAcentral.
GACGAACGCUGGCGGCGUGCCUAAUACAUGCAAGUCGAACGCACUCUCGUUUAGAUUGAAGGAGUUUGCUCCUGAUUGAUAAACAUUUGAGUGAGUGGCGGACGGGUGAGUAACACGUGGGUAACCUGCCCUAAAGUGGGGGAUAACAUUUGGAAACAGAUGCUAAUACCGCAUAAAACCUAACACCGCAUGGUGUAGGGUUGAAAGAUGGUUUCGGCUAUCACUUUAGGAUGGACCCGCGGUGCAUUAGUUAGUUGGUGAGGUAAAGGCUCACCAAGACCGUGAUGCAUAGCCGACCUGAGAGGGUAAUCGGCCACACUGGGACUGAGACACGGCCCAGACUCCUACGGGAGGCAGCAGUAGGGAACCUUCCACAAUGGACGAAAGUCUGAUGGAGCAACGCCGCGUGAGUGAAGAAGGUUUUCGGAUCGUAAAACUCUGUUGUUGGAGAAGAAUGUAUCUGAUAGUAACUGAUCAGGUAGUGACGGUAUCCAACCAGAAAGCCACGGCUAACUACGUG